AAUAGAUACCCGGGUAGUCCACGCCGUAAACGAUGUCGACUUGGAGGUUGUGCCCUUGAGGCGUGGCUUCCGGAGCUAACGCGUUAAGUCGACCGCCUGGGGAGUACGGCCGCAAGGUUAAAACUCAAAUGAAUUGACGGGGGCCCGCACAAGCGGUGGAGCAUGUGGUUUAAUUCGAUGCAACGCGAAGAACCUUACCUACUCUUGACAUCCAGAGAACUUAGCAGAGAUGCUUUGGUGCCUUCGGGAACUCUGAGACAGGUGCUGCAUGGCUGUCGUCAGCUCGUGUUGUGAAAUGUUGGGUUAAGUCCCGCAACGAGCGCAACCCUUAUCCUUUGUUGCCAGCGGUUAGGCCGGGAACUCAAAGGAGACUGCCAGUGAUAAACUGGAGGAAGUGGGGAUGACGUCAAGUCAUCAUGGCCCUUACGAGUAGGGCUACACACGUGCUACAAUGGCGCAUCAAAGAGAAGCGACCUCGCGAGAGCAAGCGGACCUCAUAAAGUGCGUCGUAGUCCGGA
RNAcentral lists this ribosomal RNA (518 nucleotides) under uncultured bacterium. Its description in RNAcentral is "bacterial SSU rRNA". It matches the Rfam family "Bacterial small subunit ribosomal RNA", at positions 777 to 1297 of the family's 1533-position model. The record is from RNAcentral.